AGUUUGAUCUUCCCUCAGGAUGAACGCUGGCGGCGUGCCUAACACAUGCAAGUCGAGCGAGAAGCUACCGACUGACACUUCGGUAGAGGGAGCUAGUGGAGAGCGGCGGACGGGUGAGUAACGCGUAGGCAACCUGCCCUUCACCCAGGGACAGCCUCCGGAAACGGGGAUUAAUACCUGAUGACCCGGUAGUGACACAUGUCACCAUCGGCAAAGAUUUAUUGGUGAGGGAUGGGCCUGCGUCUGAUUAGUUAGUUGGUGAGGUAACGGCUCACCAAGGCGACGAUCAGUAGCCGACCUGAGAGGGUGACCGGCCACAUUGGAACUGAGACACGG
RNAcentral lists this ribosomal RNA (336 nucleotides) under uncultured bacterium. Its description in RNAcentral is "bacterial SSU rRNA". It matches the Rfam family "Bacterial small subunit ribosomal RNA", at positions 10 to 329 of the family's 1533-position model. The record is from RNAcentral.